This 1530-nucleotide ribosomal RNA is filed under the name Escherichia coli KTE13. RNAcentral's name for it is "bacterial SSU rRNA". It matches the Rfam family "Bacterial small subunit ribosomal RNA". The record is from RNAcentral. Lineage: Bacteria; Pseudomonadati; Pseudomonadota; Gammaproteobacteria; Enterobacterales; Enterobacteriaceae.
AGAGUUUGAUCAUGGCUCAGAUUGAACGCUGGCGGCAGGCCUAACACAUGCAAGUCGAACGGUAACAGAAAAAAGCUUGCUUCUUCGCUGACGAGUGGCGGACGGGUGAGUAAUGUCUGGGAAACUGCCUGAUGGAGGGGGAUAACUACUGGAAACGGUAGCUAAUACCGCAUAACGUCGCAAGACCAAAGAGGGGGACCUUCGGGCCUCUUGCCAUCGGAUGUGCCCAGAUGGGAUUAGCUUGUUGGUGGGGUAACGGCUCACCAAGGCGACGAUCCCUAGCUGGUCUGAGAGGAUGACCAGCCACACUGGAACUGAGACACGGUCCAGACUCCUACGGGAGGCAGCAGUGGGGAAUAUUGCACAAUGGGCGCAAGCCUGAUGCAGCCAUGCCGCGUGUAUGAAGAAGGCCUUCGGGUUGUAAAGUACUUUCAGCGGGGAGGAAGGGAGUAAAGUUAAUACCUUUGCUCAUUGACGUUACCCGCAGAAGAAGCACCGGCUAACUCCGUGCCAGCAGCCGCGGUAAUACGGAGGGUGCAAGCGUUAAUCGGAAUUACUGGGCGUAAAGCGCACGCAGGCGGUUUGUUAAGUCAGAUGUGAAAUCCCCGGGCUCAACCUGGGAACUGCAUCUGAUACUGGCAAGCUUGAGUCUCGUAGAGGGGGGUAGAAUUCCAGGUGUAGCGGUGAAAUGCGUAGAGAUCUGGAGGAAUACCGGUGGCGAAGGCGGCCCCCUGGACGAAGACUGACGCUCAGGUGCGAAAGCGUGGGGAGCAAACAGGAUUAGAUACCCUGGUAGUCCACGCCGUAAACGAUGUCGACUUGGAGGUUGUGCCCUUGAGGCGUGGCUUCCGGAGCUAACGCGUUAAGUCGACCGCCUGGGGAGUACGGCCGCAAGGUUAAAACUCAAAUGAAUUGACGGGGGCCCGCACAAGCGGUGGAGCAUGUGGUUUAAUUCGAUGCAACGCGAAGAACCUUACCUGGUCUUGACAUCCACAGAACUUUCCAGAGAUGGAUUGGUGCCUUCGGGAACUGUGAGACAGGUGCUGCAUGGCUGUCGUCAGCUCGUGUUGUGAAAUGUUGGGUUAAGUCCCGCAACGAGCGCAACCCUUAUCCUUUGUUGCCAGCGGUCCGGCCGGGAACUCAAAGGAGACUGCCAGUGAUAAACUGGAGGAAGGUGGGGAUGACGUCAAGUCAUCAUGGCCCUUACGACCAGGGCUACACACGUGCUACAAUGGCGCAUACAAAGAGAAGCGACCUCGCGAGAGCAAGCGGACCUCAUAAAGUGCGUCGUAGUCCGGAUUGGAGUCUGCAACUCGACUCCAUGAAGUCGGAAUCGCUAGUAAUCGUGGAUCAGAAUGCCACGGUGAAUACGUUCCCGGGCCUUGUACACACCGCCCGUCACACCAUGGGAGUGGGUUGCAAAAGAAGUAGGUAGCUUAACCUUCGGGAGGGCGCUUACCACUUUGUGAUUCAUGACUGGGGUGAAGUCGUAACAAGGUAACCGUAGGGGAACCUGCGGUUGGAUCACCU